RNAcentral lists this ribosomal RNA (419 nucleotides) under uncultured Bacteroidota bacterium. Its description in RNAcentral is "bacterial SSU rRNA". It matches the Rfam family "Bacterial small subunit ribosomal RNA", at positions 608 to 1029 of the family's 1533-position model. The record is from RNAcentral. Lineage: Bacteria; Pseudomonadati; Bacteroidota.
CUCAACUUCGGGAUUGCCAUUGAAACUGUUUCACUUGAGUGUAGUUGAGGACGGCGGAAUGAGUUGUGUAGCGGUGAAAUGCAUAGAUAUAACUCAGAACACCAAUUGCGAAGGCAGCUGUCUAGACUAUAACUGACGCUGAGGCACGAAAGCGUGGGGAGCGAACAGGAUUAGAUACCCUGGUAGUCCACGCAGUAAACGAUGAUCACUCGUUGUUGGCUACUUGGUAGUCAGUGACUAAGGGAAACCGUUAAGUGAUCCACCUGGGGAGUACGUCGGCAACGAUGAAACUCAAAGGAAUUGACGGGGGCCCGCACAAGCGGAGGAACAUGUGGUUUAAUUCGAUGAUACGCGAGGAACCUUACCUGGGCUUAAAUGCAGGCUGCAUUCUGGUGAAAGCCGGAUUUCCUACGGGACCG